Molecule: transfer-messenger RNA, 373 nt
Filed under: Haloplasma contractile
Lineage: Bacteria; Bacillati; Mycoplasmatota; Mollicutes; Haloplasmatales; Haloplasmataceae
Also listed under: 1 other name
Description: Standard tmRNA
Rfam family: transfer-messenger RNA
About the family: Bacterial tmRNA, also known as 10Sa RNA or SsrA, is named for its dual tRNA and mRNA-like properties. Its role is to liberate the mRNA from a stalled ribosome.
Source: RNAcentral
GGGGAUGUUACGGAUUCGACGGGGCUAUUUGAGCUUAAGAAGCAGGUCGAGCUUGCAUCUCGUUAAACUGUCGAGGUUUAAUAACCGGAAAAACAAACAAAACUGCUAGUUUUAACAACCUAGCACUAGCUGCGUAAUAUAUUCGUAGCGCUCCAUUCGUCUAUCGCCCAUGUAGCCGUUUAGGAGCCCAGACUUAGUGGGAUACGCCUAAAACUGCCGUUUGAGGUAUUAGGAAGAGACUUCGCGAACUCGCUAGUUAGGUCGCCUGUCUGUUGGCAACUUACUAGUUAAACUUUAAUAGAUAGACUAAGCCUGUAGAAACUUGAGUGAUCGGUAUCUUCGGACGCGGGUUCGACUCCCGCCAUCUCCACCA